Molecule: ribosomal RNA, 253 nt
Filed under: uncultured bacterium
Lineage: Bacteria
Description: partial 16S ribosomal RNA
Rfam family: Bacterial small subunit ribosomal RNA
Source: RNAcentral
GACAGAGGUGCCAAGCGUUAGGCGGAAUCACUGGGCUUGAAGCGUGUGUAGGCGGGUCGUUAAGUACCUUGUGAAAUCCCACGGCUCAACCGUGGAACGGCUGGGUAUACUGGCGAUCUUGAGCCACCUAGGGGCAGUCGGAACAAGUGGUGGAGCGGUGAAAUGCGUAGAUAUCACUUGGAACGCCAAUGGUGAAAACAGACUGCUGGGGGUGUGCUGACGCUGAGACACGAAAGCCAGGGGAGCAAACGGG